GAUGAACGCUGGCGGCGUGCUUAACACAUGCAAGUCGAACGGACUUAAGAUGAAACCUAGUGAUUCUUAAGUUAGUGGCGGACGGGUGAGUAACGCGUGGGUAACCUGCCGUAUACCGGGGGAUAACACUUAGAAAUAGGUGCUAAUACCGCAUAAGCGCACAAAAGCGCAUGCUUUAGUGUGAAAAACUCCGGUGGUAUACGAUGGACCCGCGUCUGAUUAGCUAGUUGGCGGGGUAACGGCCCACCAAGGCGACGAUCAAUAGCCGGCCUGAGAGGGUGAACGGCCACAUUGGGACUGAGACACGGCCCAA
Molecule: ribosomal RNA, 313 nt
Filed under: uncultured bacterium
Lineage: Bacteria
Description: bacterial SSU rRNA
Rfam family: Bacterial small subunit ribosomal RNA
Source: RNAcentral